This 468-nucleotide long non-coding RNA is filed under the name Phoenix dactylifera (date palm). RNAcentral describes it as "long non-coding RNA (PDAC_LNC010461)". The record is from RNAcentral. Lineage: Eukaryota; Viridiplantae; Streptophyta; Magnoliopsida; Arecales; Arecaceae.
UUUGAGGCAAGGGUGAAGCAAAAAUUUGUGAGCAAAGUUAAGACAUAUUCCAAUCAACUUAUCCAAGCAUGGAGCAUUACAAAAUAUUGAGAACCCAUAAUUCAAGACAUCAUGCCAUAUGCAAAAUAGAUUAUUUGUUAAGUCAUGCAUUAACAUAUUAAGACCAAGCAUGUCAAGAAUCAAAAUCAAUUCUUUUCGAGUUAACUUUCCCUAUUUAAAUAUAAUCUUCCACUAAUUUCAUCCUUAAAGUGUGUUUCCAAGUGAUUAAAGCUUGACUUGAUUCUUCUUAUAUGCUUUCAUUUACUUUGUUAUUCAUUUUUUACUUUCUUAUGCUCUAUACUCUAUUUGCUCCCUAUCCGGUGGAGUUGGAAGGGGCACGAGGUACUACCACUAGCCUCCCUCUUGUGCCGUCCCUAAUAUGCCCUACACCGAAUAGUUGGGUCAAAUAGUGCCGGGUACUACCACUAG